UACGUAGGGCGCAAGCGUUAUCCGGAAUUAUUGGGCGUAAAGAGCUCGUAGGCGGUCUGUCGCGUCGGCUGUGAAAACUCGGGGCUCAACCCCGAGCCUGCAGUCGAUACGGGCAGACUAGAGUGCUGUAGGGGAGACUGGAAUUCCUGGUGUAGCGGUGAAAUGCGCAGAUAUCAGGAGGAACACCGGUGGCGAAGGCGGGUCUCUGGGCAGUAACUGACGCUGAGACGCGAAAGCGUGGGGAGCAAACAGG
This 253-nucleotide ribosomal RNA is filed under the name uncultured bacterium. Its description in RNAcentral is "partial 16S ribosomal RNA". It matches the Rfam family "Bacterial small subunit ribosomal RNA", at positions 524 to 776 of the family's 1533-position model. The record is from RNAcentral.